GAGAGAGGCCCAACAGCAGCGGGAACUGCUAAUUCCCACCACCCCGGUUAAAGCCCGAGGCUCACUCG
Molecule: transfer RNA, 68 nt
Filed under: Barbourisia rufa
Lineage: Eukaryota; Metazoa; Chordata; Actinopteri; Beryciformes; Barbourisiidae
Description: tRNA-Ser (AGY)
Source: RNAcentral